AGGUCAGUAGGUUGGUCGUGCCACCGGUACGUACUGGUCUCACUGAUUCCUCCUUCCUGAAGAACCGUAAUGCCAUUAAUUUGGUGUUGCGGGGAAACAGGACUGUUACUUUGAAAAAAUUAGAGUGGUUAAAGCAAGCUAACGCUUGAAUACAUUAGCAUGGAAUAAUGAAAUAGGACGAUCGAUCCUAUUUUGUUGGUUUCUAGGAUUGACGUA
Molecule: ribosomal RNA, 216 nt
Filed under: Glomeromycotina sp.
Lineage: Eukaryota; Fungi; Glomeromycota
Description: partial small subunit ribosomal RNA
Rfam family: Eukaryotic small subunit ribosomal RNA (bases 40-216)
Source: RNAcentral